CGGCAACAGCUCAAAUUUGAAAUCUGGCUCUUUCAGGGUCCGAGUUGUAAUUUGUAGAGGGUGCUUUGGCGUCGGCCGUGGUCUAAGUUCCUUGGAACAGGACGUCACAGAGGGUGAGAACCCCGUACGUGGCCGCUGGCCUUCGCCGUGUAAAGCCCCUUCGAC
Molecule: ribosomal RNA, 165 nt
Filed under: Phoma sp.
Lineage: Eukaryota; Fungi; Ascomycota; Dothideomycetes; Pleosporales; Didymellaceae
Description: partial large subunit ribosomal RNA
Rfam family: Eukaryotic large subunit ribosomal RNA
Source: RNAcentral